GACGUAGGGCGCGAGCGUUGUCCGGAUUUAUUGGGCGUAAAGAGCUCGUAGGCGGCUUGUUGCGUCGACUGUGAAAACCUAGGGCUUAACCCUGGGCUUGCAGUGGAUACGGGCAGACUAGAGGUAGGUAGGGGAGAAUGGAAUUCCUGGUGUAGCGGUGAAAUGCGCAGAUAUCAGGAGGAACACCGGUGGCGAAGGCGGUUCUCUGGGCCUUACCUGACACUGAGGAGCGAAAGCGUGGGGAGCGAACAGG
This 253-nucleotide ribosomal RNA is filed under the name uncultured bacterium. Its description in RNAcentral is "partial 16S ribosomal RNA". It matches the Rfam family "Bacterial small subunit ribosomal RNA", at positions 524 to 776 of the family's 1533-position model. The record is from RNAcentral.